AUGACCGGCGGCGACCGACUGUCCAGCCUCCCCGAUGACCUUCUACGGCACAUCCUGUACUUCGCGCUGGUAAAGGAGGGCGCCACCACGGGCGCGCUCGGGCGGCGGUGGCGCUCGCUCUGGCCCUCGUCCGGCGCCGUCAACCUGGACUCACGCUCCUACGACGACCUCGACCGGUACUCCAAGCGCUACGUUAUCAUGCGUGACGCCCGUGAGGCUUUCGCCGCCGCCGACGGCAACGUAACGAAGCUCACGUUCUGGUACUCGGAAGGAGAGGACGACGACCACAGCGACUACGAGUCAUUCGCUUUCCAUGACGACGUGUGCGAGGCGAAGCAGGACAUGGCCCGAGAGCUCGAGGCCCUGCUGUCCAGCCCGGCGGCCAGCCGCCUGGAGGAACUCCGUAUCGGGCUCUUCUACGGCCCGGACUCGGACGCUCCCGGGGCCGGAAUGCUAUACAACUUCAGCAUCGGCAGCCUGCCGCCGUCGAGGUCUCUCCGCGUGCUGCACCUCAGCAAGUGCAUGAACUACGACCAUGAGGUCCACGAUCCAUUCCAUCGGCUCGUGGAGCUGCGGCUGCACCUGUGCGGCGUCUCGUUCCACCUACUCCAGGCACACCUACUCCAGGGUGUCAUAGAUGGCGCGCCGCAGCUCGCCACCCUGGACCUCGACGGGUCCGAGCUCUGGACAGGGGACCCUCGUUGGCAGCAAUCGGUAGUUCUCCGCUGCCCCAGGGUCACCACCCUCGUUCUCGCAAAUUUGGACGACCGCUGCUGGGGCGAUAAAGGGCAGAACACCAUGGAGCUCGAUGCUCCGCUGUUGCGGUGGUUCAGGUACCAGGGGCCUGUCCGGUCAUUGUCGCUCAAGUCGCCGCAGCCGGACAUGACACGGGUAGACCUGCGCCUCCAUGUUCCUGCGGAUGUUCCUACAGAUGGCGAAACGUGCCGGACAUUUGUUCAAAGCUUCAGCAAUGCAACGAUCGUGAACGUCGACUUUGAACUGCUAGACGAUCAAUACGACGGAGGAAGUGUGCCCCAUCUACUGAUGUACAAUGACGCUAUGAAUUUCCAUAUAUGUCACCUAUAUUUUGAGUCAAAUCCAUAA
This 1104-nucleotide ribosomal RNA is filed under the name Triticum aestivum (bread wheat). RNAcentral describes it as "partial small subunit ribosomal RNA". The record is from RNAcentral. Lineage: Eukaryota; Viridiplantae; Streptophyta; Magnoliopsida; Poales; Poaceae.